UACAGAGGGGGCAAGCGUUGUCCGGAGUUACUGGGCGUAAAGCGCACGUAGGCGGUUGUGCAAGUGGUGUGUGAAACCAAUCAGCUUAACUGAUUGACGCCAUGCCAAACUGCACGACUUGAGUUAUGGAGAGGUUGCUCGAAUUGCCGGUGUAGUGGUGAAAUGCGUAGAGAUCGGCAGGAAGACCAAGGGAGAAAUCAGGCAACUGGCCAUAUACUGACGCUCAGGUGCGAAAGCGUGGGGAGCGAACUGG
Molecule: ribosomal RNA, 253 nt
Filed under: uncultured bacterium
Lineage: Bacteria
Description: partial 16S ribosomal RNA
Rfam family: Bacterial small subunit ribosomal RNA
Source: RNAcentral